Molecule: ribosomal RNA, 441 nt
Filed under: bacterium W13M50
Lineage: Bacteria
Description: bacterial SSU rRNA
Rfam family: Bacterial small subunit ribosomal RNA
Source: RNAcentral
CCCUUCGGGGGGACGACGGUGGAAUGAGCGGCGGACGGGUGAGUAACACGUAAAGAACCUGCCCAUAGGUCUGGGAUAACCACGAGAAAUCGGGGCUAAUACCGGAUGUGUCAUCGGACCGCAUGGUCCGCUGAUGAAAGGCGCUCCGGCGUCGCCCAUGGAUGGCUUUGCGGUGCAUUAGCUAGUUGGUGGGGUAACGGCCCACCAAGGCGACGAUGCAUAGCCGACCUGAGAGGGUGAUCGGCCACACUGGGACUGAGACACGGCCCAGACUCCUACGGGAGGCAGCAGUAGGGAAUCUUCCACAAUGGACGAAAGUCUGAUGGAGCAACGCCGCGUGAACGAUGAAGGCUUUCGGGUCGUAAAGUUCUGUUGUAAGGGAAGAACAAGUGCCGCAGGCAAUGGCGGCACCUUGACGGUACCUUGCGAGAAAGCCACGGC